CCCUCCUUGGAAACGGGGUUCUCAUCUGCGCCUGUCAAUCAAAGUACCAACAAGCAGGGUGUGUUUGCCACCUCUGCCCUCCCUGUGCAGAACAGUCGUCCCAAGCAACAAGUGUACUGUGUGUGGACACACAACUGCAGGCUUUUUACACAAGGUUAAGCAACAAGUUCACUAACAAGCAUUAAGAAUGUCCUAUGAGAGGAUUUUGUCCAUCCAAAAUCUGAACGAGGCUUCAAAUCCUUGGAAGGGCUUCACUAUGAACCGCUGCCUUGUGGUGGCACUGGUGGUGCUGCUUGUGGGUGCAGGGGUCCAUCAAUUUCACAAUGCCGUUGACAUGGUUGUAGAAGAGACAGGGAUAAGGUCUUUCAUCGGAAGUAUUCAAGACGGUUCAAUAACUCAGAUCUCCUUGUGGGACAAGUUCAUGUCGUGGUGGGGAUCAGAAGAACUCGGAGCGAUAAGGAAACGGAAAAAGCCCAUGGGGAGGAAAGCGGUCCUGAAACCUAAAACGGCUAAACAAUGAUGCAUUCGGGUUGAAAAAGGUUAAAAUGGAGAUUUUAACUUUGUAGAAUUCCCAGCAAAAAGGACAGUGAAACAAUUCUCUGACAUCUUGAUACUAUCCUGAAUUAAAAUGUGACAUACUCGCAUGCAUUUAUAUAAUAGA
Molecule: long non-coding RNA, 661 nt
Organism: Syngnathus typhle (broad-nosed pipefish)
Lineage: Eukaryota; Metazoa; Chordata; Actinopteri; Syngnathiformes; Syngnathidae
Exons: 5
Source: RefSeq, a predicted model, not a curated record